GCUGAAUGUGUAACCAAGGACCUGCAGCAGGCGAGUGCAGGGCCUCGGCGCCGCCCCUGAUUCUGUCCACUUCCGUGCCAUUAUCUUCCAUUUUGCAUUGGUGAAUUUGAUGUUUGUGUGUUUUUUUUUUUUUUUGCCGCUCACACAAAAGGCCCAAAAAGCAGCGGGAUGCUUUUAACGCGGCGCUAAAUCCAAAGACAUUCACGACCGUUCUGAGGAAACAGACGGAGAUUGCUAUCUGAGCAACGGACCUUGUAAAGUUAUACAACGUGGGCAUGUGCGGACACAACAGCCGCACAUGUUUCAUCCGGCUGGUACCACACUUCCCGCGGGCGGAGGAUGUGCACAAGAACAAUGCGCGGGGAAACGCCGUCUCUUGGCGGUCCGAACUCCACCCGCUGUGUUUACGCGGUGCUCCAAUGCACCACCCCGCACUACACUAUUAAUGGCAUUUGUGCAAGAUGACAAAUCGCCGUCGGCCCGCGAUGGAAAACGGCGUUACUCGCGCAAACCUUGUGAAAAAAAUGGAGCCUCCUUGUGCUAUUUCAGAAUAAGUGAUCUGAUGGAUGCUCUGUGCGACGCACGGCCGCCGUCGGAGUAAUUACAAAAGGCACGAGAGGAGCACCCACGCAGCCGCACCGGGCGUUUGUUCCAGUUGGGAGAAUCACAGCAGCGCACUCGACCUGCAGGCUGUGACGCUUGUUUGCUUUCCGACGUCUUCAAUGGAUCUCGUUUCGUUCGUGGAUGCUCCAUUGUUGCUGAUGUCGGCCUGGCAACUGUUUGCUUUGGAUUUGACCUUUGGGGGUCGUGUCUGUGAGAGGACAUUUUGCGGUGUGUGUUUGUGGAAAUGGGGCAGGAGAGAGUGCCACCUGUUGAUUUGUUACGGUGCUGCACUAAAGGGGGGCAACAAGCCAGCGCAGUUGUGAUGCGAGGCAGUUUGCUAAAUAGGUCUGUUAGCUGAAAAUAUUAGUACUAAUAAGUAUUUUUUUUAUUAAUGCAGGUAAACUUAAGGUCAAUAUGGUGAACUGAACACUCAUAUCUGGUGUUUCAAACACAUUUUCACAUAUGAGAAUAUUCUGCGGGAGCCUAAAAUUAACUUGAAUAAUAAUUUUAAUAGCAGAGGCUGGAAGAUGAUUUAAUCAUGCAGGAACAAUUAUUGAUGUAUUCAGAGUUGCAAAAAAGUAAUAACAUUUAAAAAGCAAAUGCCGUCUCCUACAAAAGCACAUUACCAGCAAAGCCUAAGUGCUCUUAAUUGCAUUUUGACAGAAAUCUUUUUUUUCCUACAGUAUAUUACCGUCGCAGAUGGCUACCAC
Molecule: long non-coding RNA, 1313 nt
Organism: Gasterosteus aculeatus aculeatus (three-spined stickleback)
Lineage: Eukaryota; Metazoa; Chordata; Actinopteri; Perciformes; Gasterosteidae
Source: Ensembl